This 103-nucleotide signal recognition particle RNA is filed under the name Amphibacillus xylanus NBRC 15112. RNAcentral describes it as "bacterial signal recognition particle RNA". It matches the Rfam family "Bacterial small signal recognition particle RNA". From Rfam's summary of the family: The signal recognition particle (SRP) is a universally conserved ribonucleoprotein involved in the co-translational targeting of proteins to membranes. Archaeal SRP consists of a 7S RNA and homologues of the eukaryotic SRP19 and SRP54 proteins. The record is from RNAcentral. Lineage: Bacteria; Bacillati; Bacillota; Bacilli; Caryophanales; Bacillaceae.
AGUUUGGGUCCUGCGCAACGUGAACCCGUGAACCCUGUCAGGUUCGGAAGAAAGCAGCAGUAAGCGGUCUUUCAUGUGUGCCGUAGGGAAGCCUGAAUUGAGC